GACGAACGCUGGCGGCGUGCUUAACACAUGCAAGUCGAGCGGUAAGGCCCUUUCGGGGGUACACGAGCGGCGAACGGGUGAGUAACACGUGGGUGACCUGCCCUCAGCUCUGGGAUAAGCCUGGGAAACCGGGUCUAAUACCGGAUAUGACUCCAUGACGCAUGUUGUGGGGUGGAAAGCCUUGUGCGGCUGAGGAUGGGCCCGCGGCCUAUCAGCUUGUUGGUGGGGUGAUGGCCUACCAAGGCGACGACGGGUAGCCGGCCUGAGAGGGCGACCGGCCACACUGGGACUGAGACACGGCCCAGACUCCUACGGGAGGCAGCAGUGGGGAAUCUUGCGCAAUGGGCGAAAGCCUGACGCAGCGACGCCGCGUGAGGGAUGACGGCCUUAGGGUUGUAAAGCUCUUUUACCCGGGAAGAUAAUGACGGUACCGGGAGAAUAAGCCCCGGCUAACUUCGUGCCA
Molecule: ribosomal RNA, 463 nt
Filed under: uncultured bacterium
Lineage: Bacteria
Description: bacterial SSU rRNA
Rfam family: Bacterial small subunit ribosomal RNA
Source: RNAcentral